AACGCGAAGAACCUUACCAAGGCUUGACAUAUACCGGAAACGGCUAGAGAUAGUCGCCCCCUUGUGGUCGGUAUACAGGUGGUGCAUGGUUGUCGUCAGCUCGUGUCGUGAGAUGUUGGGUUAAGUCCCGCAACGAGCGCAACCCUUGUUCUGUGUUGCCAGCAUGCCCUUCGGGGUGAUGGGGACUCACAGGAGACUGCCGGGGUCAACUCGGAGGAAGGUGGGGACGACGUCAAAUCAUCAUGCCCCUUAUGUCUUGGGCUGCACACGUGCUACAAUGGUCGGUACAAAGGGCUGCGAUGCCGCGAGGCGGAGCGAAUCCCAAAAAGCCGGCCUCAGUUCGGAUUGGGGUCUGCAACUCGACCCCAUGAAGUUGGAGUUGCUAGUAAUCGCAGAUCAGCAUGCUGCGGUGAAUACGUU
Molecule: ribosomal RNA, 420 nt
Filed under: uncultured bacterium
Lineage: Bacteria
Description: bacterial SSU rRNA
Rfam family: Bacterial small subunit ribosomal RNA
Source: RNAcentral